GGAGUGCUGGGUUGUCGCUCGCAGCCGUCAUGGCAGCGGAGGAGAAGGACCCUCUGAGCUAUUUUGCGGCAUACGGGAGCAGCAGCUCAGGCUCCUCGGACGAGGAGGAUAACAUCGAGCCGGAGGAGACGAGUCGCAGAACCCCGGAUCCGGCGAAGUCGGCGGGCGGCUGUAGGAACAAGGCGGAGAAGCGGCUCCCGGGACCUGACGAGCUGUUUAGGAGCGUGACUCGCCCGGCCUUUCUCUACAAUCCGCUCAACAAACAGAUAGACUGGGAGAGGCACGUCGUCAAGGCGCCUGAGGAGCUUCUCCCUGAGACCCCUUCCCUUUGACGCCGAAGUGCCUGCGGUGCUGCCUCCAAGACAGUGUCUGCUGCAGCCUCCUGAAGGGGUCAGCCUUGGCGUAGUAUCUCUGAGACUGGAUUCUUCUUUGCCUCCAAAGGAAUUCAAAAUAUGGAAGUCAAAUUAUGUACCACCUCCUGAGACCUACACCACUGAGAAGAAGCCUCCGCCUCCAGAGCUUGACAUGGCAAUAAAAUGGUCUAACAUAUAUGAGGACAAUGGUGAUGAUGCUCCACAGAAUGCUAAGAAAGCUAGGCUUCUACCAGAAGGGGAGGAGACGUUGGAAUCAGAUGAUGAAAAAGAUGAGCAUACUUCUAAAAAGCGCAAAGUAGAGCCAGGAGAACCAGCAAAGAAGAAAAAGUAGAAACAAAUGACCAGAAUUUCUGUACUGCUAAACUUGUUGAAAUGUUUCUUUGGACAGAUUAAGUUGAUAUUGUGGGUUAUUAUGCCACAUCUCCAUGAAAAUGCAUACGUUAAUGAACUAAUAAGUAUUGCCUCAAGAACUUUCCACUAUAGAAUUCUUUUUUUAUUUAAAACAUGUAUGUAUUUAAAACUCAACUGGUGACUUGUGAUUGUGAAAUUGAUAACACUUGGAUGCAUUCUUGCUCUCACAGAAUUGGUGACAUGCUUUGAGAGUUUUGUCACAUGUUGACAUGCCAAUGUUCUUAUAAACCUUUUAUAAAGGAAUAUAUUUUUAAAGUAAAUAUAUUGUAAUGUACUGUGAACUUGUAGGGUGCUUUUCAACAGUCUUUGUACAGUGUAAAUAGAUCAUGGAAAUAAAAUUACUUAUUCAAUAUUACUAUUACUGUAUAACAUUAACAUUUGAAUGUUUGUCUGUGACAAGUACCCUAUUUGUCGUGUGACAUUUUAAGUUGUAAUAAGAAGUAUUACCAUUUAAAGAGUGCCUCCUGUGUUCCAGGUGCUUUGUGCAUAUAUUUUCUCUGAUCCUUAAACAACCUAGCGCAAGGUAUUAUUAGUAUUCUCAUUUUAUAAUAAAGAGUGCUUGAGUAGCUUGUCUGAUGUUACACAGCUAGUGAGUGGUUCAUUUGGAAUUUAACUUGGGACACUUGAACCUCAAAAUCAUCACAUUAAACCACCUGUCCACCAGUCAAAAUUUAGUCAUCUUUCAGGAAUGACAUCAAUUGUCAUCUCUUCCAGGUACUUUUUUCUGUUGUACCUGGAGAUCCGUUAGUAGAGAUCUUUUCCUCUCCUGAUUGGAUGACUGUACUUGUCAUCUGUGCUUUAUGGUUAUUCAUUAAUUUCUUUAUUAAAUUGUAAGUUUACAGGACAUUCAGUUAAAUUUGAAUUUCAGAUAAAUAAUGUUUUAGUAUAUUUAAUAUUCAGGACAUAUACAAAAAAUGUGUUUAUCUGAAAUUCAAAUUUAACUGAACAUCUUUUAUCUGGUAACCCUACUUCUACAUGUUUUCUCUACCCAGCUUCUAUUUUAAUGCUUUGCGUAUAGUAAUAAUAAAAUGAACAAGAAGUAGUUGGGAAGGUGUGAUCGUUGAGUUCCAAAAUGCAGUUAUUUGUAGCAUUUUGAACAAUAAAAAGGUUACACUCUGCAUCAAUCUUUCCAUGAAUCUGAAGCCCUUAAGAGAUAAGAAUUACAGAACAGUGCACAUUCAGUGUAUAAGAACAAGACAGCCAAGCAUGGUGGCUUAUGCUUGUAAUCCCAGCACUUUGGGAGGCCAAGGUGGGAGGAUAGCUUGAGGCCAAGAGUUGGAGACCAGCCUAGACAACAUGAUAAGACCUCAUCUUUACAAAAAAUAAUUUAGAAAGAAAAAGACAUAAUCUAAGUAUUUUUUUUUAAAUCUGUUUUUCCCCAUUGUGGAAGAUAAAAUUUGAACAAUUACGCGAGAUUUGUUUACCUAGGCAUGUGUAUCAAGUAGAUUAAAAUUCAUAAAAGUCAUUAAGAGUGAUUGCAUCAGCCAUGGUGCUUUGUGGAAUGAAGGUCCAUAACAGCAUGAUGGCUUCCAGUAUAUCAUCGAGUUUAGAAAAACCAAUUCUAUAGCUGCCCAUCCUCCAGGUUUGCAAAUAUAUGAAUCCCAAAAUUGAAGUAAUUGCUAAAGCAAGAAUAUGUUUUUUUAAGAUUGUAGUCUUUGUAAUGAAUUUGGAAAUCUGUGGUAUCAUAUACUAAGGAGUGGCAUCAAGUGACAAAGCAAGACCAUAGUAUGUACAUGACACCAAACACAACCAAAUCAAGUUAUAUUUGUGAAGUUGUGAUUCCCAAGCUCUGGAGAAAUCUAAAAUUUGGAUGCAUGUGUUGGUGGAGCAAAUAUCUCAGAAGUUACUGAAAUAUUGCAAGGUUCUUAAGUUAGCAUGAAAGCAAACUUUUUUCUCUCUUUCCUGGGAGAUGUGCAGAGUAUGUUGUAUGAGGAGGAAGACAGGACUUAGGGAAGAGGCUAAAUAUUUUGGAGCAAGUCUGACUCAGCCAUUUGUAUCUCCUGGUUGGAAAACGGACUGUCAUAUCACUCUACAUUCAUCAUCACAUUAGAGAAUAGAUUAUUUUCCCCUUUAGAGAUGUCCUGGGAACGUGUUUGCACAAGUGUCCAUGUGGGUACUGAGGUGAAGUUUGGUUGAGCUAGUGGAAACCUAGUGGGGAAAAGUCUUAAAAAUCCAUAUACAUAAGAAAAAUCAUCUGUCCAAGUAUCUUUCAUUUUAGAGAAUCGAGUCACUUGAUACUUCUGAUUGUUUCCUGCACUUUAAGUUAAGCCUGGGCAACAUGUUGAGAUCCUGAUCUGGUUUGGCUGUGUCCCCAACCAAAUCUCACUUGAAUUGUAAUUCCCACAAUUCCCACGUGUCAUGGGUGGUGACUGAAUUAUGGGGGUGGGUCUUUCCGGUGCUGUUCUUAUGAUAGUGAAUGAGUCUUACGAGAUCUGAUGGUUUUAAAAACCAUCAGUGCAGGGAGUUGCCCUGCACAAGCUCUCUGCCUGCUGCCCUCCACAUAAGAUGUGUCUUGCUCCUCUUGCCUUCUGCCAUGAUUGUGAGGCUUCCUCAGCCAUGUGGAACUGUAAGUCCAAUUAAACCUGUUUCUUGCAAA
RNA transcript from Homo sapiens (human), 3381 nucleotides. It is a transcript of the gene named chromosome 1 open reading frame 52, with no coding region annotated. The record is from RefSeq and is marked validated. NCBI's taxonomy places the organism in Eukaryota, Metazoa, Chordata, Mammalia, Primates, Hominidae. The transcript is spliced from 4 exons.